RNAcentral lists this ribosomal RNA (725 nucleotides) under uncultured bacterium. RNAcentral's name for it is "bacterial SSU rRNA". It matches the Rfam family "Bacterial small subunit ribosomal RNA", at positions 68 to 803 of the family's 1533-position model. The record is from RNAcentral.
UUGAAGCCUUCGGGUGGAAGCGAGUAUUGCUUAGUGGCGAACGGGUGAGUAACACGUGAAUAACCUACCCUGGAGUGGGGGACAACAUUUGGAAACAGAUGCUAAUACCGCAUAAGACCACGGAGCCGCAUGGCUCUGAGGCCAAAGGAGCAAUUCGCUCUGGGAUGGAUUCGCGCCUGAUUAACUAGAUGGUGGGGUAAUGGCCUACCAUGGUGACGAUCAGUAGCCGGACUGAGAGGUUGGACGGCCACAUUGGGACUGAGACACGGCCCAGACUCCUACGGGAGGCAGCAGUGGGGAAUAUUGCACAAUGGACGAAAGUCUGAUGCAGCGACGCCGCGUGAGGGAAGAAGGUUUUCGAAUUGUAAACCUCUGUCUUCGGGGACGAUAAUGACGGUACCCGAGGAGGAAGCCACGGCUAACUACGUGCCAGCAGCCGCGGUAAAACGUAGGUGGCAAGCGUUGUCCGGAAUUACUGGGUGUAAAGGGAGCGCAGGCGGAAUGGCAAGUUGAAUGUGAAAACUAUGGGCUUAACCCAUAGACUGCGUUCAAAACUGCUGUUCUUGAGUGAUGUAGAGGUAGGCGGAAUUCCCGGUGUAGCGGUGGAAUGCGUAGAUAUCGGGAGGAACACCAGUGGCGAAGGCGGCCUACUGGGCAUCAACUGACGCUGAGGCUCGAAAGUAUGGGGAGCAAACAGGAUUAGAUACCCUGGUAGUCCAUACUGU